Molecule: transfer RNA, 72 nt
Filed under: Takifugu rubripes (torafugu)
Lineage: Eukaryota; Metazoa; Chordata; Actinopteri; Tetraodontiformes; Tetraodontidae
Description: tRNA-Cys (GCA) (tRNA-Cys-GCA-4-1)
Rfam family: tRNA
About the family: Transfer RNA (tRNA) molecules are approximately 80 nucleotides in length. Their secondary structure includes four short double-helical elements and three loops (D, anti-codon, and T loops). Further hydrogen bonds mediate the characteristic L-shaped molecular structure. tRNAs have two regions of fundamental functional importance: the anti-codon, which is responsible for specific mRNA codon recognition, and the 3' end, to which the tRNAs corresponding amino acid is attached (by aminoacyl-tRNA synthetases). tRNAs cope with the degeneracy of the genetic code in two manners: having more than one tRNA (with a specific anti-codon) for a particular amino acid; and 'wobble' base-pairing, i.e. permitting non-standard base-pairing at the 3rd anti-codon position.
Source: RNAcentral
GGGGGUAUAGCUCAGUGGUAGAGCAUUUGACUGCAGAUCAAGGAGUCCCCGGUUCAAAUCCGGGUGCCCCCU